UACGUAGGGUGCAAGUGUUGUCCGGAAUUAUUGGGCGUAAAGAGCUCGUAGGCGGUUUGUCGCGUCGAAUGUGAAAACCCGGGGCUCAACCCCGGGCCUGCAUUCGAUACGGGCAGACUAGAGUUCGGUAGGGGGAGUCUGGAAUUCCUGGUGUAGCGGUGAAAUGCGCAGAUAUCAGGAGGAACACCGGUGGCGAAGGCGGGACUCUGGGCCGAUACUGACGCUGAGGAGCGAAAGCGUGGGGAGCGAACAGG
This 254-nucleotide ribosomal RNA is filed under the name uncultured bacterium. Its description in RNAcentral is "partial 16S ribosomal RNA". It matches the Rfam family "Bacterial small subunit ribosomal RNA", at positions 524 to 776 of the family's 1533-position model. The record is from RNAcentral.